This 142-nucleotide unclassified non-coding RNA is filed under the name Geotrichum candidum. RNAcentral describes it as "partial internal transcribed spacer region". The stretch from base 1 to 46 matches the Rfam family "Eukaryotic small subunit ribosomal RNA", at positions 1786 to 1831 of the family's 1831-position model. Lineage: Eukaryota; Fungi; Ascomycota; Dipodascomycetes; Dipodascales; Dipodascaceae. The record is from RNAcentral. RNAcentral also lists the same sequence under 1 other name.
AAGUCGUAACAAGGUUUCCGUAGGUGAACCUGCGGAAGGAUCAUUAAGAAUUGAAAAUAUUUGUGAAAUUACCACAGCAAACAAUAAUCAUACAAUCAAAACAAAAAAAUUAAAACUUUUAACAAUGGAUCUCUUGGUUCUC